GCUAAGGUGGUUCAGUGGUAGAAUUCUCGCCUCCCGUGUGGGUGACCCGGUUCGAUUCCCAGCCGAGGCA
RNAcentral lists this transfer RNA (70 nucleotides) under Loxodonta africana (African savanna elephant). It matches the Rfam family "tRNA". From Rfam's summary of the family: Transfer RNA (tRNA) molecules are approximately 80 nucleotides in length. Their secondary structure includes four short double-helical elements and three loops (D, anti-codon, and T loops). Further hydrogen bonds mediate the characteristic L-shaped molecular structure. tRNAs have two regions of fundamental functional importance: the anti-codon, which is responsible for specific mRNA codon recognition, and the 3' end, to which the tRNAs corresponding amino acid is attached (by aminoacyl-tRNA synthetases). tRNAs cope with the degeneracy of the genetic code in two manners: having more than one tRNA (with a specific anti-codon) for a particular amino acid; and 'wobble' base-pairing, i.e. permitting non-standard base-pairing at the 3rd anti-codon position. The record is from Rfam by way of RNAcentral. Lineage: Eukaryota; Metazoa; Chordata; Mammalia; Proboscidea; Elephantidae.